CACCAGCACUCCUCCUUUUCCCCUGCUAUCACUUGCUGUAAAUAAAACAAAAACAAAACAAACAGGACUUCCCGGGGUGAGUUUUUAAGCAUGAAGACUCCUCCAAAACAAAGGCUGCCCCAUCCACAGUUAGCAGGGAGUACUGAAAGCUACGGGUAGUGAGUUCAGUUAUUUUCCCAAUCUAUGCAAAUUACCAUUUGCAGCACCCUUUGGACAAAAAGUCUUGAAGCUCAGAUGAUGUUAUAAAAUGAAUGUCAAUCCCACGGAAGUCAAAUCUGUUCUGAAGAGUUUGCUAUCUAUCUAUAUGCAAGACAGGGAAAGGAAACUGAAUUAUACAAACCCAUCUCUUGUACAGCAGGAAGAAAUCUCGGCUUCCCUAUACAUCCUGAUUAUUAUUGGGUUUUUUGGUUUUCUCCUUUUCUCUAUGAUGCUCAGCAAUAUUGUUCUCAGGCAGAGGGAAAACUACAUGGAUUACCUCUUCCAAAAUAAAUUUCCAAGAAAGAGGAUAAGUUCCUGCAACAGCAUAAUGGUACAUGCUGGAAAAGGUGUUACAAUAGAAGCUAACACAGAUUGCCAGUGCCAAAAGACCGACAGUUGCCCAAUGGCAGAAAUUCCGAGCAUGGAAUCAGUGCAGAAAAAUGUAUGAAGGUGCAGUAUCAUGACCUAUUUUUAACUAUGGAUGAUUUUGUUGCCAUCUAAAGUAUUAGAUCUGAUUGCACUAACUUGGGCCAUUCCUGGCAAGCCUCAUUUGGAGCAACCUUUCUAUCUACUGUGCAAGAAAAAAAUUGUUUCUUUCUAAAUUGCAUUAUAGUUUUCCUAUUCUAAACUCCCUUGAGUUUCCACUAAUAGUUUGGUAAUCCAGUUCAAACUUGUAUGAUUUCUUUAUAUUCAUGCUGAUAUACGCUUUUGUGAUGUGUCCCACGUGGACUAAGUAAGCUAUCUUCCUUUUUUUCCCCCUUAAUUGUGGGUUUUGUAAAGACUUUUGUUCUUGUAACUGUGUCAAUUGUGGAGACCUCCUCACAAUCUAAAAGAAAUACAUAAAGACUGAAAGAGUCAAAUCAAGUAAACAUUGGCUAGAAAUCUAACUUUCCUGCCCUGGUUUAUUAUUGGCCCAUUACCCAUAGAUAGAAAAUUCAAAACAAAGGGAACCUGGAACCCAGAGCUGCAAGUUUUCCCUGAAAAUUAGCAGAAUCUGAAAAUUGUCAAAUUGCCAUGUUUAAUGUGACAAAAUAAGGAACUUUAUUAAAACCCAUGACUAGGGAAUAGGCAGGUUAAUUAUACUGAAGUUUAACUAAAUUUAAAUGGAAACGAACUGAAGUCAAGUUUAGAUUCUAACUUACCAUUCAAAAGCUAAGUGUGAUCUUCGCCAAGGAAAAGUUAUGCAUUCCUGG
This is a long non-coding RNA of Pseudonaja textilis, 1391 nucleotides long. RefSeq lists it as uncharacterized. NCBI's taxonomy places the organism in Eukaryota, Metazoa, Chordata, Lepidosauria, Squamata, Elapidae. The record is from RefSeq and is a predicted model, not a curated record.